Molecule: unclassified non-coding RNA, 162 nt
Filed under: uncultured Penicillium
Lineage: Eukaryota; Fungi; Ascomycota; Eurotiomycetes; Eurotiales; Aspergillaceae
Description: sequence contains ITS2
Source: RNAcentral
CUGCCCUCAAGCACGGCUUGUGUGUUGGGCCUCCGUCCCCCGGGUGGGGGACGGGCCCGAAAGGCAGCGGCGGCACCGUGUCCGGUCCUCGAGCGUAUGGGGCUUUGUCACCCGCUCUGUAGGCCCGGCCGGCGCCUGCCGACCCUCAUCAUCCUUUUUUCA